This is a non-coding RNA of Podarcis lilfordi (Lilford's wall lizard), 69 nucleotides long. The record is from the annotation of a GenBank genome assembly. NCBI's taxonomy places the organism in Eukaryota, Metazoa, Chordata, Lepidosauria, Squamata, Lacertidae.
GUUAUAGCUCAGUGGCAGAGCAUCUGCUUCCCAUUCAGAGGGUUCCAAGUUCAAUCCCUGGCAUGUCCA